This 859-nucleotide ribosomal RNA is filed under the name uncultured marine bacterium. RNAcentral describes it as "bacterial SSU rRNA". It matches the Rfam family "Bacterial small subunit ribosomal RNA", at positions 8 to 916 of the family's 1533-position model. The record is from RNAcentral.
AGAGUUUGAUCCUGGCUCAGAACGAACGCUGGCGGCAGGCCUAACACAUGCAAGUCGAGCGCGCCUUCGGGUGAGCGGCGGACGGGUUAGUAACGCGUGGGAACGUGCCCUUCUCUACGGAAUAGCCUCUGGAAACGGAGAGUAAUACCGUAUACGCCCUUUGGGGGAAAGAUUUAUCGGAGAAGGAUCGGCCCGCGUUAGAUUAGGUAGUUGGUGGGGUAAUGGCCUACCAAGCCUACGAUCUAUAGCUGGUUUUAGAGGAUGAUCAGCAACACUGGGACUGAGACACGGCCCAGACUCCUACGGGAGGCAGCAGUGGGGAAUCUUAGACAAUGGGGGCAACCCUGAUCUAGCCAUGCCGCGUGAGUGAUGAAGGCCUUAGGGUCGUAAAGCUCUUUCGCCUGUGAUGAUAAUGACAGUAGCAGGUAAAGAAACCCCGGCUAACUCCGUGCCAGCAGCCGCGGUAAUACGGAGGGGGUUAGCGUUGUUCGGAAUUACUGGGCGUAAAGCGCGCGUAGGCGGAUUAGAAAGUUGGGGGUGAAAUCCCGGGGCUCAACCCCGGAACUGCCUCCAAAACUGCUAGUCUAGAGUUCGAGAGAGGUGAGUGGAAUUCCGAGUGUAGAGGUGAAAUUCGUAGAUAUUCGGAGGAACACCAGUGGCGAAGGCGGCUCACUGGCUCGAUACUGACGCUGAGGUGCGAAAGUGUGGGGAGCAAACAGGAUUAGAUACCCUGGUAGUCCACACCGUAAACGAUGAAUGCCAGUCGUCGGGGCGCUUGCGCUUCGGUGACACACCUAACGGAUUAAGCAUUCCGCCUGGGGAGUACGGUCGCAAGAUUAAAACUCAAAGGAAUUGACGG